AUGUUUGCCAUCUGGAGCUUUGAUGGGGAGGAUGUGUACAAGAAAAUUGUGGAUGCCACAAAUAAUUUCAGCAACGUUCAUUGCAUUGGGAUUGGAGGAAAUGGAUCUGUCUAUAAAGCUCAGUUACCAACAGGUGAAAUAUUUGCAGUGAAGAAGAUCCACAUGGGAGAAGAUGGUGAGCAAUUUAACCGUGAAAUACAUGCGUUAAUGCAUAUUCGACAUCGCAACAUCGUGAAGUUAUUUGGUUACUGUUCUGGAACUCAGGGAAGAUUCCUUGUGUAUGAGUACAUGGAUAGAGGAAGCUUAGCAGCAUCCUUGAAAGGCAAUGAAACUGCAAUUGAAUUGGAUUGGAUCACUAAAAUACUAGAUGUGGAUGCAUCGAACUGCACAAAUCUUGCUGGGACAAAAGGAUAUAUUGCCCCAGAGCUUGCAUACACAACAAGGGUGACAGAGAAGUGCGAUGUUUAUAGCUUCGGAGUGCUUGUUCUAGAGCUGUUCAUGGGACAACAUCCAGGGGAUCUCUUUUCAUCCAUGGACAACAGCAACAGAAAUACAUCACUUGACAACUUGCUGGACACCCGUCUCCCACUCCCUGAAGCUGAGAUCGCACGUGAGAUAUUUCAUAUGGUUGCCAUCGCUGUUCGGUGCAUAGAGCCUGAUCCAUCGCACCGUCCAACGAUGCAGGAAGUGAUCACGGUGUUCACAAGAGCUGAACGGUCACCUGUUAAUAAUCUUGAUUAUCUCCACACUGCCAUUUUCAUCCCGGCAUGCUGGUCUUGA
Molecule: ribosomal RNA, 780 nt
Filed under: Triticum aestivum (bread wheat)
Lineage: Eukaryota; Viridiplantae; Streptophyta; Magnoliopsida; Poales; Poaceae
Description: partial small subunit ribosomal RNA
Source: RNAcentral